This 20-nucleotide unclassified non-coding RNA is filed under the name Mus musculus (house mouse). Its description in RNAcentral is "oocyte_clustered_small_RNA3557". Lineage: Eukaryota; Metazoa; Chordata; Mammalia; Rodentia; Muridae. The record is from RNAcentral.
GCUAUAACGUGACCGUGACC